UACGGAGGGGGCUAGCGUUGUUCGGAAUUACUGGGCGUAAAGCGCACGUAGGCGGCUUUGCAAGUCAGAGGUGAAAGCCCCGGGCUCAACCUGGGAAUGGCAGUGGAUACUGGCAAGCUAGAGUGCGGUAGAGGGGUGUGGAAUUCCCGGUGUAGCGGUGAAAUGCGUAGAGAUCGGGAGGAACACCAGUGGCGAAGGCGGCACCCUGGACCAGCACUGACACUGAGGCACGAAAGCGUGGGGAGCAAACAGG
Molecule: ribosomal RNA, 253 nt
Filed under: uncultured bacterium
Lineage: Bacteria
Description: partial 16S ribosomal RNA
Rfam family: Bacterial small subunit ribosomal RNA
Source: RNAcentral